Molecule: ribosomal RNA, 1053 nt
Filed under: Halomonas campaniensis
Lineage: Bacteria; Pseudomonadati; Pseudomonadota; Gammaproteobacteria; Oceanospirillales; Halomonadaceae
Description: bacterial SSU rRNA
Rfam family: Bacterial small subunit ribosomal RNA
Source: RNAcentral
AAAGGCUUGGUUUUAAACUUCAGCGAGGAAGAAGGCCUGAGGGUUAUACCCUUCAGAAGGACAUCACUCGCAGAAGAAGCCCCGGCUAAUUCCGUGCCAGCAGGCCGCGGUAAUACGGAGGGUGCGAGCGUUAUUGGAAUUACUGGGCGUAAAGCGCGCGUAGGUGGCUUGAUAAGCCGGUUGUGAAAGCCCCGGGCUCAACCUGGGAACGGCAUCCGGAACUGUCAGGCUAGAGUGCAGGAGAGGAAGGUAGAAUUCCCGGUGUAGCGGUGAAAUGCGUAGAGAUCGGGAGGAAUACCAGUGGCGAAGGCGGCCUUCUGGACUGACACUGACACUGAGGUGCGAAAGCGUGGGUAGCAAACAGGAUUAGAUACCCUGGUAGUCCACGCCGUAAACGAUGUCGACUAGCCGUUGGGUUCCUUGAGAACUUUGUGGCGCAGUUAACGCGAUAAGUCGACCGCCUGGGGAGUACGGCCGCAAGGUUAAAACUCAAAUGAAUUGACGGGGGCCCGCACAAGCGGUGGAGCAUGUGGUUUAAUUCGAUGCAACGCGAAGAACCUUACCUACCCUUGACAUCGUGCGAACUUGGUAGAGAUACCUUGGUGCCUUCGGGAACGCACAGACAGGUGCUGCAUGGCUGUCGUCAGCUCGUGUUGUGAAAUGUUGGGUUAAGUCCCGUAACGAGCGCAACCCUUGUCCCUAUUUGCCAGCGAUUCGGUCGGGAACUCUAGGGAGACUGCCGGUGACAAACCGGAGGAAGGUGGGGACGACGUCAAGUCAUCAUGGCCCUUACGGGUAGGGCUACACACGUGCUACAAUGGUCGGUACAAAGGGUUGCAAUACCGCGAGGUGGAGCUAAUCCCAUAAAGCCGGUCUCAGUCCGGAUCGGAGUCUGCAACUCGACUCCGUGAAGUCGGAAUCGCUAUGUAAUCGUGAAUCAGAAUGUCACGGUGAAUACGUUCCCGGGCCUUGUACACACCGCCCGUCACAACCAUGGGAGUGGACUGCACCAGAAGUGGUUAGCUUAACCUUCGGGGGAGCGAUCCCCAUGGU